GACGAACGCUGGCGGCGUGCUUAACACUUGCAAGUCGAACGAUGAUCUCCCGCUUGCGGGGGUGUUUAGGGGCGAACGGGUGAGUAAUACGUGAGUAACCUGCCCUUGACUCUUUGAUAAGCCUGGGAAACCGGGUCUAAUACUGGAUACUACUUCCUGCCGCAGGGUGGGGGGUGGAGAGGGUUUUACUUUGUUUGGAUGGGCUCGCGGCCGAUCAACUUGUUGGUGGGGUAAUGGCCCACCAAGGCGGCGAUCGGUAGCCGGCCUGAGAGGGUGAUCGGCCACACUGGAACUGAGACACGGUCCAGACUCCUACGGGAGGCAGCAGUGGGGAAUAUUGGACAAUGGGCGCAAGCCUGAUCCAGCCAUACCGCGUGGGUGAAGAAGGCCUUCGGGUUGUAAAGCCCUGUUGUGGGGAAAGAAAAGCAGCAGGUUAAUACCCCGCUGUUCUGACGGUACCCAAAGAAGAAGCACCGGCUAACUUCGUG
This 488-nucleotide ribosomal RNA is filed under the name uncultured bacterium. Its description in RNAcentral is "partial 16S ribosomal RNA". It matches the Rfam family "Bacterial small subunit ribosomal RNA", at positions 28 to 507 of the family's 1533-position model. The record is from RNAcentral.